UGAAUACGAGAUGCUACGGCGUCGAAGCAGUCUAUGUCAUACUUCCAAGAAAAGCUUGCACUGUCAUAAACAAAUAAUGCCUGUACCAUAACCGACACAGGUGGGUAGGUAGAGUAUACUAAGGGGCGCGAGAUAACUCUCUCUAAGGAACUCGGCAAAAUGACUCCGUAACUUCGGGAGAAGGAGUGCCUUAUUUAUAAGGUUGCAAUAACAAGAUCCAAGCAACUGUUUACCAAAAACACAGGUCUCCGCUAAGUCGUAAGACGAUGUAUGGGGGCUGACGCCUGCCCAGUGCCAGAAGGUUAAAGAAGUUGGUUAGCAUCCGCGAAGCUGAUAACUGAAGCCCUGGUGAACGGCGGCCGUAACGAUAACGGUCCUAAGGUAGCGAAAUUCCUUGUCGGGUAAGUUCCGACCCGCACGAAAGGCGUAAUGAUUUGGAUACUGUCUCGGAGAGGGGCUCGGUGAAAUAGACUUGUCUGUGAAGAUGCGGACUACCUGCACCAGGACAGAAAGACCCUAUGAAGCUUUACUGUAACCUGAAAUUGAAAUUGGACUUUACUUGCGCAGUAUAGGUGGGAGGCGUUGAGAAUAUUCUUGCGGGAUUAUUGGAGCCAUCAGUGAGAUACCACUCUUGUAAUGUUAGGUUUCUAACUUUGUAUCAUUAUCUGGUCAAAGAACAGUUUCAGGCGGGCAGUUUGACUGGGGCGGUCGCCUCCUAAACGGUAACGGAGGCGCACAAAGGUUUCCUCUGAACGGGUAGAAAUCGUAUCUAGAGUGUAAAGGCAUAAGGAAGCUUGACUGUGAGACCUACAAGUCGAGCAGGGACGAAAGUCGGUCUUAGUGAUCUGACGGUGCUGAGUGGAAAGGCCGUCACUCAACGGAUAAAAGUUACUCUAGGAUAACAGGCUGAUCUCCCCCAAGAGUUCACAUCGACGGGGAGGUUUGGCACCUCGAUGUCGGCUCAUCGCAUCCUGGGGCGGUAGUACGUCCCAAGGGUUGGGCUGUUCGCCCAUGAAAGCGGUACGCGAGCUGGGUUCAGAACGUCGUGAGACAGUUCGGUCCAUAUCCGGUGUAGGCGUUAGAAUAUUGAGAGGAGCCUUCUUUAGUACGAGAGGACCGAGAAGGACAUACCUCUGGCGUACCAGUUAUCGUGCCAACGGUAAACGCUGGGUAGCUAUGUGUGGAGUGGAUAACCGCUGAAAGCAUCUAAGUGGGAAGCCCACCUCAAGAUAAG
RNAcentral lists this ribosomal RNA (1234 nucleotides) under metagenome. RNAcentral describes it as "bacterial LSU rRNA". It matches the Rfam family "Bacterial large subunit ribosomal RNA", at positions 1564 to 2808 of the family's 2925-position model. The record is from RNAcentral.